CUAGUUAAGAGCAGGUAUAAUCACCAGAUUGAGAUCAAUAACAUAUAAAUUCAAAUUGCUUAACUUCAGUAACAUGACUAUUGUUGAAAACUCUUGGAAUCCAUGGAACCAGCAUUUGCUAAGGAAGAGAAUCUCAAAAGGAGCAUUUGACACUUGUGUGAGUGACAACAGCAAGAUGGUGAUAUGGGUCACUACCAACUUCUGUCCCACUAACAAGAAGACCAAAUAGCAACUAUGCAUAAACAAGACAACAUUGUGAAAAUCAUAAAACACAGAGGUGAGGCUGAAGCACCAUUUAACCAGAGACAGAGAGAGAUUGCUUAAGAAAGGUAAGAGGAGCAGCUACUCACUGACUCCAAUGCCCCUCCCCCAGGCCAGCACAACAUAACACAGAGAGAGAUCCCUGGGCCUAUCGUUUCUCUAGUGAGCAAAAGACAACUCAAAUGUUAUUUCCUGGGAAGCUCACUUAGGUCUCGCUUCACCGGGAUGGAGAGGUGAAUCUGUGGGGCUUGACCACAUAAGAUUGUGACAGAGAAAGUGAGGGGUUUGGACCAUUAGUGUUUACAUCUUGACAGACUGAGUUCCUAUUUGAAGGAACACUCAAAUGUCUCAACCAGUGGUUUUGACUAUUUACAGAACCAAGAUGGUAGCCCCAUCCUUCUAGGGGACUUGGGGAAAAAUUCUACCUCAUUCGGGACUCCAAAUAAUAAGUCUUGCUGGACUUAGGGCCUGUUUUAGCCAGCCUGGGUAGUGGGAAAACAAAUUUAUAUGCAUGCCUAGUUCUGAGCCCCCCCACCCAAUAAGAAGACUGAUGGGAGCUCCUUGGAACCUUCAUAGUGUAGCAGCACCUGAGUAAUGAGCCUAGCUGGCAGUGAUACUCAUUUACAGAGUGAGGAUGAUGACGCUAUUUAGCCAGGAAACUCAGAGCACAGUUCUGCCUGAAUCAGAAUCUCAAACAAUGAGCCUCACAGGUCUUGGAGCCUGUUUUGCCAUUCUGCCCAGUCAGGGAAGCUAUUCCAUAGCCCUGCUUACUACUGAGUAUAGCCCCCAGUGCUACCAAAUUAGGAAAUCUGACCAGAGAACCUAGGAAUCUGUGUAGCCCAGCAAUAUCUGAGUGGAGAGCCUGACCAGUGGCCGUGUGCCACUGCAGAACCAAGUUAGCAAGGAGCUUAAUAUGUAGUUCUGCCUCAUUCUGGAUCCCCCAAAAUGAGAUUUUUCAUCUUGGAAGUGUGCUAUACCACACAGGCAAGGAAGAAAAUUCACAGCCUUUUCUGAUAUUGAGUACAAUCUCCAAACCUUUCCAAUUAGGAAACCUGGACAGAACACUGGAAAACUCAAUAGCCAAUAGUACUAAAGCAUAGGUUCAUCCCAGUGGCUAUGUCCACCUGCAGAGCUAAACGGAUAGCCCCAUCUGGCUAGGGACCUUGGUGUGCAGUUCCACCAGGUUUGUUUCACAAACAAUGAGCCUUGCCAACCAUAAUGCCUGUUCGGAGGCCCUGCCAGGACAGAGAAGCUAAUUUGUACCCCUGCCCAUGGUUUAAUAAUGAUUUUAGUCCUGACAAACCAAGAAAUCCAGCCAGAAAAUCUAGCAAGCUGCAUAUCUCAUCUUAUAAUCCCUAUAGGAUGACACUUGACUAGGGAGCCCCACAAAAGACUUGUCCUUAUUCAGAGCAAAGCUGGUGACCCCAUCUGGCCAAGAAAUUUGGUAUAGCAUUCUGCUCAGUUUGGGUCUCUAAAUAAUGAGCCAUGCUGGUCUUAAGACCUAUUAUUCAUCCCUUCCUAGGAAAGGAAGCUAAUUCAUAGCCCUGAUAACUGUUAAGUAUAUUAUCCAGUCUGAUUUGACUAGGAAACCUGACGAAAGAAUCCAGAUAAACUGUGGAAUACAGUCUAUAGUCACACUUGGGUAGAGAGCCAAGCUAGCAGUCUCAUCCAGCUAUCCCCAGCCAGAGCAUCACCUUCAUGAUUUCAGUUAGGCAGGGCUCUCAGCCAAAAAUAGACCGACUUACAGAAUCAAAGAUCACACACACACAAAUCAGGUAAACUUGAUUUCACCAGAGGAAACUAAUAAAUUUUCACUAACUCCCCAUAAAUAAAUGGUGAUCUAUGAACUCUCAGACAAAGAAUUCAGAUAGUCAUUAUUAUGUUAAUUAAUUUAAUGAACUACAAGACAUAACAAUAUUUAUGUUCUGGGAAUUGCAGAAGGAGAUGAGGGAAAGAAAGGGAAAGAAUAUUGAAAACAGUAUAGGCUGAAAACAUCCCAAAGUUAAGGUGAGAAAAGGACAUCUAGAUUCAUGAUGCCCAAAAGAUCCCAAAUAGUUUGAACCUGAGAAGGACUAAACUGAAACACAUAAUUAAACUCAUAAGUCUAAAACAGAGGGAAAAACUUAAAAGCAGCAAGAGAAAAGUGACACAUUACUAACAAGGGAAAUAAGAAUACUAUCAACCAAGAAUACUAUACCCAGCAAAGAAAGUAUCCCUUCAGAGAUGGAAGAGAUACAAUUUUCUCAAACAAAAUCUGAGGGAGUACAUCAUUACUAGAACUGCCUUAUUAGAAAUACUAAAAGGAGUUAUUUAAGUGAACAUAAAAGAAGACCAAAUAAGAGUAUGAACAUAGAUAAAUGUAGGUGUAAACCUCAAUGGUAGUGGCAAAUAUAUAGUCAAAGUCAGGUUCUCUAAUGUUGUAAAAGUGACGGCACUUACAAGUAGAGUUAAAAAGUUUAAAAAAUCAAUGGAAAAUAAUCAUUCUAUAAUAAUUUGUUAUUGGAUACAAAUUGUAGAAAGUAUGUAUGUUGUAACAUCAAUAACCUAAAAUGUAAGGAGGGAAGUAAAAGUGUAAAAUCUAAGAAUGCUAUUGAAGUAAGUCAUUAACAGAUUACAUCAGAGUACUAAAGUAUAAGAUAUUUUUGUAAGUUUUAUGGUAACUACAGGAAAAACCUGUAGUAGAUACCUGUAGUAGAUAAAGAAGUCAAAACAUAUAUCUAAAAAAGUCAUUAAAUCACAAUAGAAGACAGCAAUAUAAGAAGCCAGCAAAAAUGUCUACAAGGAUCUAGAAAACAGUGAACAAAAUGUCAUUAGUAAGUCCUUACUUAUCAAUAACUGCUUUAAAUGUAAACAAAUAAAAUUUUCCAGUUAAAAGAUAGAUAUGUAUUAAAAAAAUAAGAUCCAAUGAUACGCUGCCUAUGAGAGAUCACUUCAGUUUUCAGGAUAUACACAGACUGAAAGUGAAGACAUAGAAAAGGUAUUUUAAGUAAAUGAUUAAAAAAAGAAGAGGAGUUCCUGCUGAGGCACAGUGGGUUUAGAAUAUGACCCCAGAGGUUCAGGUUGCUGCAAAGGUGUGGGUCCAAUCCCUGCCAGCACAGUGGAUUAAAGGAUCCAGCUUUGCUGUAGCUGCAGCUAAGUUUGCAGCUGUGGCUUGGAUUCAAUCCCUGGUCCAGGAACUUCCAUGUACUGUAGGUGUGGUCAUAAAAAGAAAGAGAGAAAGGAAGAAAGAAAGGAAGAAAGAAAGGAAGGAAGGAAGGAAGAAAGGAAGGAAGGAAGAAAGGAAGGAAGAAGGACAGAAAAGGCAGGCUAAUAAUAUAAUAGACUGAACUAAAACUGGUCAAAAGAGACAAAUAAUUUUAUUAUAUAAUGAAAAAAUUGUCAAUCCAUCAAGAAGAUAUAACAAUUAUAAAUACUUAUGCACUCAAUAUCAUAUCAGCUAAAUAUAUAAAGCAAAUAAUAAUAGAACUAAAAGAAGUAAGCAACAAUCUAGUAAUUGCUAGAGAUCUUAGUAUUGCCACUCUAAGCACUGGAUAGGUAAGCCUGACAGAGAAUCAAUAAAAAACAGUGGAUUUGAACAAAACUCAAAGGCAAUUGAACCUAAUAGAUGUAUAUAUAUAUAAAACAGUCCACCCAACAAUGACAGAAUACUUAUUUUUCUCAAGUGCACUUAGAACAUUUCUGGAAAAUUCGUGAAUACAUGGAAAUCAAACAAUACACUCCUGAACAAUGAAUGAAUCAAAGGAUAAAUUGAAAGGGAAACUAUUUUAAAUGAAAAUAGAAACAUAACGUACAAAACUUAUGUGAUGGGCUAUGAGCUGUGGUAUAGGUCGCAGACGUGGCUCAGAUCCCACAUUGCUGUGGCUCUGGCGUAGGCCAGCGGCUACAGCUCCAAUUCCACCCCUAGCCUGAGAACCUCCAUAUGCCAUGCGUGCAACCCUAGGGAAAAAAAAAAAAAAAACUUAAGUGAUGCAGCAAAGAUGUUCUAAGAGAGAAAUUUAUAGCUAUAAAUGCAAACAACAAGAAAAUAGAAAGGUAUCAAAUAAAUAACCUAACUUCACACCUAAAGUAACUAAAAAAAGAAGGACAAAGUCCAAAGUUAGUAGAAGGAAGGCCAUAAUAAAGAUAAAAGCAGAAAUAAAUAAAAUAGAGAUCAGGAAACUAUAAAAAAAAUGAACAAAACUAAGUGGUUCUUUGUAAAACAAAACUGACUAAACUUUAGCUAGACUAACCAAGAACAAAAGAGGACCCAAAUAAAUAAUAAUUAUAAACAAAAGGGAGACAUUAUAGUUAAUGCCACACAAAUACAAAGGAUGAUAAGAGACUACUAUGAGCACCUGUAUAACAACAAACUGGACAACCUAGAAGAUAUAGAUAAAUUCCUAGAAACAUACAGCCUAGCAAAACUGAAUCAGGAAGAAAUAAAAACUCUGAAUAGACUAAUCAUUAGUAACAAUAUUGAAUCAGUAAUCAAAAACCUCUCAACAGGAGUUCCCAUUGUGGUACAGUGGAAACAAAUCCUAACAGUUUCCUUGCAGAUGAGGGUACCAUCCCAGGCUUAGCUCAGUGGGCCGGGAAUUGGCGUUGCUGUGAGUUGUGGUGUAGGCAGACGCAGCGUGGAUCCUGCAUUACUGAGCCUGUGGCAUCGGCUGACAGCUAUAACUCCAAUUCGACCCCUAGCCUGGGACCCUCCACAUGCUACAGGUGAAAAUUACAGGCCAAUUUCCCUGAUGAAUAUAGAUUCAAACAUUCUUAAGAAAAUACUAGCAAGUUAAAGUCAGCACAUUAAAUGGAUUAUACAUCAUGAGCAAGUGGAAUUUAUCCUUGGAAUGGCAGAAUAUCUCAAUAUAUGCAAAUAAAUCAAUAUGAUACAUCACAUUAACCUAGUUAAAAAUAAAAAUUAUAUGAACAUAUCAAUAGAAUCAGAAAAAGCAUUAAGGGAGUUCCCAUUGUGGCUCAGUGGUUAACAAAACUGGCUGGUAUCCAUGAGGACAUGGGUUCAAUCCCUGGCCUUAUUCAAUGGGUCAGGGAUCCAGCAUUUCUGUGAGCUGCAGUGCAGGUUGCAGACAGGGCUUAGAUCCUGCAUUGUUGUGGCUGUGGCUGUGGCCAGUGGCUACAGUUCCGAUUCAACCCCUAGCCUGGGAA
RNAcentral lists this long non-coding RNA (5403 nucleotides) under Sus scrofa (pig). Its description in RNAcentral is "lncRNA (ENSSSCG00025029790.1)". Lineage: Eukaryota; Metazoa; Chordata; Mammalia; Artiodactyla; Suidae. The record is from RNAcentral.